GAUGAACGCUGGCGGCGUGCCUAAUACAUGCAAGUCGAGCGAACGGACGAGAAGCUUGCUUCUCUGAUGUUAGCGGCGGACGGGUGAGUAACACGUGGAUAACCUACCUAUAAGACCGGGAUAACUUCGGGAAACCGUAGCUAAUACCGGAUAAUAUUUUGAACCGCAUGGUUCAAAAGUGAAAGACGGUCUUGCUGUCACUUAUAGAUGGAUCCGCGCUGCAUUAGCUAGUUGGUAAGGUAACGGCUUACCAAGGCAACGAUGCAUAGCCGACCUGAGAGGGUGAUCGGCCACACUGGAACUGAGACACGGUCCAGACUCCUACGGGAGGCAGCAGUAGGGAAUCUUCCGCAAUGGGCGAAAGCCUGACGGAGCAACGCCGCGUGAGUGAUGAAGGUCUUCGGAUCGUAAAACUCUGGUAUUAGGGAAGAACAUAUGUGUAAGUAACUGUGCACAUCUUGACGGUACCUAAUCAGAAAGCCACGGCUAACUACGUG
RNAcentral lists this ribosomal RNA (497 nucleotides) under uncultured bacterium. RNAcentral describes it as "partial 16S ribosomal RNA". It matches the Rfam family "Bacterial small subunit ribosomal RNA", at positions 28 to 507 of the family's 1533-position model. The record is from RNAcentral.